CCUCCCCUGGCCGGCCCGGCCCGCUCGCCUUCUCUUUUCUUGCAGAGGGACAGAAGAGUCACAAGUUGGACAAGUGCCAAAAGAGGCCGGCCCGCCAUGCAGCUGAAACUUUUACAAAGCCAGCAGGAAGAGACGCGAGGCGCUUGUCAAGAAAGAAAAGAAGGAUUAAAAAAAAAAAAAAAGAAGUCUCUUCUCCCGCCUUUCGGCCUUUGCACUUGUGCCUUGUUCCCGCCAUACUGUAUGCGCCCUGCCCUGCCUUCUUUGGCAGAGAGGACAGGAGGGGAGGGGAGGAGCCGCUGGGUGGGUACUUUGGGUUCAGAGAGUUCAGCUGAGGAGAGAAAUAAAUUCAUAAACAACAAAGGAGACGUGACGUCAGGUCGGAGGGGCCGUCCGAGCGCUCGGCUGAAUCCGAGCCUCCGUGGAACAACUGGAUUGUGUUGGAGUACAGUACGGCACAGCUGUGUGUGUGUGUGUUUGUGUGUCCUGAUCGGCGAGAAAAGACUCGAGUGGAGUUAAAGCUGACACACUGGACCAUUCUUUUUUUCUGUUAUCUCCUGGGUGAGUGUUUCGAAGAAGCGACGGAGGGCUUGGGUGGGGGGGGUUGUAGAUCCGUCCUUCUAAUCAAGUGCCUUCAUCAGGUGCAUGUGAAAAAAAGAGUAAGUGGGAGGACAAAAAGAGUUUUCUCGAUUUUUUGGAAAUGAUGUCAGCUCCGCCGUGAGCUCGCAUUGGUCGGGCGGUGCGCCCCGUGAUUGGUCACUUGAAGUCCUCGGCAGGCAGGGACUGAAAUUGGGCAUUUCAAAUAUUAACGUCGGUCAUGAAUAAGAAGGGAUGAGCGCCAACGUCCGUCUGUUUGUUGUUUCCCGUUAGCAAACAUGGCGAGCAAUAUGGCGCCCGCCGGCUGGUUUCUCGCGCCAUCUGCCGGUCACGGCGGGGCGUUGGAAGGAGGCGAGCGGCGUGGCGCCGCCGCCGAUGCGGCCCAGCUGCUACGUUUGUGUCACCGCUCCCGACAAUUCGUGUGACUUGUGACUGGAACGCUCUUUCUUUCCACGCUUCCUCUCGCCGACUCCUCCUCUGCGUUCGCCCUCUCUCGCGACAGACAGCGUGUCCCUCCCUUCCUCUUUCUCUGUGUGUGUGUGUGUGUACAGCCGCCCUCCCUUCACUCUCUUUCCCUCUUGUCAGCGGUGCCAAAGUGGGCAGGCAGGCAGGCAGGCGAAAAAGAGAGCAGGCCGAAGCAGAGGGCGAGCUGGCGAAUGGAUCACGCCGAGGUUUACAACCCGCGGCCGUUUCCUUCGCCGCCGAGGCUUCGGAGUACGCCGGCGCUCAUUUUGGGAUGCGCACUCGCGGCAGUAGGAGGGGAUUGUGGGAAAAAAAAGGGGUGUUGCUCUCAGAGGGUGUGCUCUACUCCUCUCUCUUCCCUUCAUCAUGGCCCUCUUCUCCUCCGGUCCUCGGGCCCAGGCCGCCGCUCACGUAGCAUCGCAGGAGCGCGACCUUGACGGACGGCGCCGGCCCGCAAGGCAACGUGAAUGCUGCCCUUGGGCCUGAGGUAGUAGAUUGAAUAGUUGUGAGGGUUAGGUAGCCUCUUUUCCAGAUAACUAUACAAUCUACUGUCUUUCCCAAGAGACAGUUUACUCGCCCAGGUGACAACCGCACCGUCCGAUGGGACCGAAUGCAAACAUCGAGCGUUGCGAUCAUUUCUGUGUUUGCUCCCGAGUGGUGUAUUAGAUUACCUGCCAGGUGGAUGUGUGUUGGAACCGGGCUUUGUCAGGGUGAGGUAGUAGGUUGUAUAGUUUGCUGGGUGGCUCGACACCCUUCUCAGGUGAUAACUAUACAGUCUAUUGCCUUCCUUGAGAAGCUCACAAACUGACGACCGCCGACGCCAACGUUUCCUGAGCCGGGCCGCACGUUUCACAGAUUUAGUCUCAGUUUACUAAACCAACAAAAGUUGCUUGAUGUGAAAUCUGUGACUGUUUUUUUAACACAAAGCGAUUAUUUUUGUUGUACUAAAUAGCAACUUGUGGAACACACGCCCUCUAGUGGCCGAGGACUCAAUAGUUCUGCAUGACACUACUUAGUGGCAAAAAAGAUGCCGGUACUUUAUUUGUUGUAAAUAAAAUAUAUUUUCAGAGCAAUGUAGUGAAAUUGGAUCAUUUCCAAAGACACACUCUCAGCAGAUUACAUGUAAUCCAGUAUUGCACUAUGUAUGAUUCAGUGUAUCAUUGUAAGAAUUAAGUGACUAGAAUUCAGUUUGUAUAAAAAUGACAAUAAAGUUUUUUUAAAUGAGUCAACCUA
Molecule: long non-coding RNA, 2289 nt
Organism: Syngnathus typhle (broad-nosed pipefish)
Lineage: Eukaryota; Metazoa; Chordata; Actinopteri; Syngnathiformes; Syngnathidae
Exons: 2
Source: RefSeq, a predicted model, not a curated record